RNAcentral lists this ribosomal RNA (245 nucleotides) under uncultured bacterium. Its description in RNAcentral is "partial 16S ribosomal RNA". It matches the Rfam family "Bacterial small subunit ribosomal RNA", at positions 524 to 768 of the family's 1533-position model. The record is from RNAcentral.
UACGUAGAUUGCGAGCGUUAUCCGGAUUUACUGGGCGUAAAGAGGGCGUAGGCGGCUCGUUAAGUCGAAUGUAAAAUCUCCUGGCUUAACUAGGAGGGACCAUACGAUACUGGCGGGCUAGAGGGCGACGGAGGGAGGUAGAAUUCCCGGUGUAGUGGUGAAAUGCGUAGAUAUCGGGAGGAAUACCAGUGGCGAAGGCGGCCUCCCAUGUCGUUUCUGACGCUGUUGCCCAAAAGUGUGGGGAG